Molecule: ribosomal RNA, 544 nt
Filed under: uncultured marine eukaryote
Lineage: Eukaryota
Description: bacterial SSU rRNA
Rfam family: Eukaryotic small subunit ribosomal RNA
Source: RNAcentral
ACUUGUGUCGCCGCUCUUCAUCCUUCGGACGAACGUGUCUGGCAUUAGGUUGUCGGGCUCGGCAGUCCGAUCAUUUACUGUGAAAAAAUUAGAGUGUUUAAAGCAGGCGUUUGCUGUGAAUACAUUAGCAUGGAAUAAUAAGAUAGGACUUUGGUGCUAUUUUGCUGGUUUGCACACCAAGGUAAUGAUUAAUAGGGAUAGUUGGGGAUAUUCAUAUUCAAUUGUCAGAGGUGAAAUUCUUGAUUUAUGGAAGAUGAACUUAUGCGAAAGCAUUUACCAAGGAUGUUUUCAUUAAUCAAGAACGAAAGUUAGGGGAUCGAAGAUGAUUAGAUACCAUCGUAGUCUUAACCAUAAACUAUGCCGACUAGGGAUUGGCGGGUGUUACUUUAAUGACCCCGUCAGCACCUUAUGAGAAAUCAAAGUCUUUGGAUUCCGGGGGGAGUAUGGUCGCAAGGCUGAAACUUAAAGGAAUUGACGGAAGGGCACCACCAGGAGUGGAGCCUGCGGCUUAAUUUGACUCAACACGGGGAAACUUACCAGGUCC